GAUGAAGAACGUAGCGAAAUGCGAUAAGUAAUGUGAAUUGCAGAAUUCAGUGAAUCAUCGAAUCUUUGAACGCACAUUGCGCCCCUUGGUAUUCCGAGGGGCAUGCCUGUUCGAGCGUCAUUAUAACCCCUCAAGCUCAGCCUGGUGUUGGGGCCUGCUGCACUGGCAGCCCUUAAAAUCAGUGGCGGCGCCAUCUGGCUCUAAGCGUAGUAAUUCUUCUCGCUAUGGAGUCCUGGUGGAUGCUUGCCAUCAACCCCCAAUUUUUCUAUGGUUGACCUCGGAUCAGGUAGGGAUACCCGCUGAACUUAAGCAUAUCAAUAAGCGGAGGA
RNAcentral lists this unclassified non-coding RNA (329 nucleotides) under soil metagenome. RNAcentral describes it as "partial contains 5.8S ribosomal RNA, internal transcribed spacer 2, and large subunit ribosomal RNA". The stretch from base 1 to 120 matches the Rfam family "5.8S ribosomal RNA", at positions 35 to 154 of the family's 154-position model. The record is from RNAcentral.